Lactuca sativa (garden lettuce) is the source of this 216-nucleotide small nucleolar RNA. RefSeq annotates it as small nucleolar RNA U3. NCBI's taxonomy places the organism in Eukaryota, Viridiplantae, Streptophyta, Magnoliopsida, Asterales, Asteraceae. The record is from RefSeq and is a predicted model, not a curated record.
ACAUUUAGCUGAACAAGAUCUAUUCUAUAGGCCCGUGCCUCUGUAUUCUUGAUUCUUAAGAAGACAAAAACCCAUGUGUGUUUGAUGAACCACGACCAUGUUACCAGAGCAUGAUUAAUAGAGUUUUUCUCAUGGUUCCGACCAUGGAUCGAUAGAUGAUCGUUACCUACCCAUUUUGAUGUGUCUUGGCAUGGCUACAUGGUUGUCUGGCAGACU